RNAcentral lists this ribosomal RNA (380 nucleotides) under uncultured bacterium. RNAcentral's name for it is "bacterial SSU rRNA". It matches the Rfam family "Bacterial small subunit ribosomal RNA", at positions 28 to 417 of the family's 1533-position model. The record is from RNAcentral.
GAUGAACGCUGGCGGCGUGCCUAACACAUGCAAGUCGAGCGAUUCUCUUCGGAGAAGAGCGGCGGACGGGUGAGUAACGCGUGGGUAACCUGCCCUGUACACACGGAUAACAUACCGAAAGGUAUGCUAAUACGAGAUAAUAUGCUUUUAUCGCAUGGUAGAAGUAUCAAAGCUCCGGCGGUACAGGAUGGACCCGCGUCUGAUUAGCUAGUUGGUAAGGUAACGGCUUACCAAGGCGACGAUCAGUAGCCGACCUGAGAGGGUGAUCGGCCACAUUGGAACUGAGACACGGUCCAAACUCCUACGGGAGGCAGCAGUGGGGAAUAUUGCACAAUGGGCGAAAGCCUGAUGCAGCAACGCCGCGUGAGCGAUGAAGGCCU